GAUUACGUAUUGUCCGGUGUAGACAAUAAACCAGUGCAAACUGCCAGAAGCAGGUAUUUCUUAUGUUGAAAUGUUGGCAUUCUCUAUGUGCCUUAAACGGGAUAUGACAGUACAUGCUCUCCAUAACGCAUUUACUACCUAGUGUCAUUGCGCUUGCAGAGCAAGUACGCUGGAGAAGUAAACACACAUGUUCUCUAAUUUUCUUUUACAUACGUGCCAAUUAACCGUUGUUUGUGAAUUAUCCCAAGUAAUAUUUUAGUUUCUCGGACAAAUGUCUAUAGAAAAGAAAAAAUACGAAUGCAAUGCUCUGCCUAAAGGAUGGCAGAGAGAAGAAGUUAUUAGAAAAUCUGGCCUUUCCGCAGGAAAAGUAGAUGUGUAUUAUUAUAGCCCAAAUGGGAAGAAGUUUCGCAGCAAGCCUCAGCUCGCUCGUUACCUGGGAGAUGCACUUGAUCUCGCCACAUUCGAUUUCCGUUCAGGCAAAAUCAAUUCACUGCUCCUGCGAAAAAACAAGAAGCAGAGAGGGACUCAAUUUGAUUACAGUCGUGGAGUAAGAAAUGAUGCAUCACUUGUACCACCAAUUCGCCAGACAGCUUCCAUCUUUAAACAGCCUGUUACUGUUUAUAAGACCCAAGAAGGGAAGGUAAAAACUGAUUUCAAACAUGGUCCUCAGGAGAAACCAAAACAGCUAUUCUGGGAGAAGAGACUAGAAGGUCUACGAGCAUGUGAUUUAGAUGGUUUAGAAUUUAAUGAAAUGGAAUUGCCCCGAGCACUACGUGCAGUGGGACCCCAUGUGGGCGAAGAGACCCUACUACAGUCUGUGGCUACAGCUCUUCAUGUGUCUACACAGCCUGUGACAGGGCAGACAGGUUCAAGAUCUGCUCUGGAAAAGAAUCCAGGUGUCUUUCUAAAUCCUGAUCAACCUUUAGUGCAGUUCCUGUAAUGGUGCUGGUUAUGGGGGCUGAAACAACUGGUCAUUUGUAAAACUCCAUAAGAAGAAAUCCAGGGGGGUCAGAUCUGGGGAUCAUGGAGGCCAAGAAAUUGGACCUGUCGGUGUCCCAUCCAUUGUCCAGGAAUGGUCUCAUUAUGAAAAUUGUGAACAUUGUGCAGUAUCUGUGGCAGAUGAAGACAUCAAAAGACAGGAAGAGAGAGUUGCAGUAGCACGGAAGAAACUUCAAGAUGCAUUGAAGAGGGUAGUGACCUAGUGUAUGCUCACGUGCAGUGUUUUAAUUAUUGGACUAGGCUAAUAAAGCCAGCCAGCUCUGGUAUAUUCUCAGUACAUUUGUUUCCAUUCUUAAUAUAGAGAAUGUCCAAAAGACUAGUUUUUCUGUGAAAAUAAAACAUACAAAAUAGUGCAUGUUUGACAUUCCUAUUAUGCGGGAAAGAACUGUGGAAUUUUGAUAUAAAUUUCGUGUUCAUGAAAAUUAUUUGGUGACUGCAUCCCUGUAGGAAUAAAAUUAAAACUGGCCUCAUUGUUAGUGGAAAUUAGAAAGUGAUUAUGUGUACUUCUUUCUGCUUCACAUACUGUAAUAAUACUCUGUUACAUUACCUGUAACCAAUACUUUUUGUAAAGUACAAUAUGAGUAUAUCACAAAAACAAGUCACCAACUUUAAGAUAAUCUACUAAAAUUGUAUACUCCUGAGAAUAAAACAUUUGUUGCAAAGAA
RNA transcript from Zootermopsis nevadensis, 1664 nucleotides. It is a transcript of the gene named methyl-CpG-binding domain protein 2, with no coding region annotated. NCBI's taxonomy places the organism in Eukaryota, Metazoa, Arthropoda, Insecta, Blattodea, Termopsidae. The record is from RefSeq and is a predicted model, not a curated record.